AGGUGUCUGAAGGGUUCGAUACUUGUUUUUAUAUUUUGACCUAACACUUUCGAUCAGGGAGCUUAAUAGGUUUUCUUACGUCGCACACGCCUCUAUAGGAGGACUUGCUAAAUAAGAAACAGGGCACCCACCUGUUUAUAGCAGGCCAAAAUGAUCAACAAAUAGUAACGGCUCAAAUUGGAUACUAC
Molecule: non-coding RNA, 188 nt
Filed under: Macrococcus sp. DPC7161
Lineage: Bacteria; Bacillati; Bacillota; Bacilli; Caryophanales; Staphylococcaceae
Description: 6S / SsrS RNA
Rfam family: 6S / SsrS RNA
About the family: E. coli 6S RNA was the first non coding RNA to be sequenced, but its function was unknown until recently.
Source: Rfam by way of RNAcentral